This 451-nucleotide ribosomal RNA is filed under the name uncultured Leptolinea sp. RNAcentral describes it as "bacterial SSU rRNA". It matches the Rfam family "Bacterial small subunit ribosomal RNA", at positions 919 to 1382 of the family's 1533-position model. The record is from RNAcentral. Lineage: Bacteria; Bacillati; Chloroflexota; Anaerolineae; Anaerolineales; Anaerolineaceae.
CCCCGCACAAGCAGCGGAGCGUGUGGUUUAAUUCGAUGUUACACGAAGAACCUUUACCUGGGUUUGACAUGCUAGUGGUAAUGAAGCGAAAGCUAAGUGACCCGCAAGGGAGCUAGCACAGGUGCUGCAUGGCUGUCGUCAGCUCGUGUCGUGAGAUGUUCGGUUAAGUCCGCUAACGAGCGCAACCCUCGCUGUGUGUUACAAGUGUCACACAGGACCGCCGGUCUUAAGCCGGAGGAAGGCGAGGAUGACGUCAAGUCAGCAUGGCCUUUAUAUCCUGGGCUACACACACGCUACAAUGGCCAACACAAUAGGUUGCUAAGCCGCGAGGUGGCGCCAAUCCAUAAAGUUGGUCUCAGUUCAGAUUGUAGGCUGCAACCCGCCUGCAUGAAGAUGGAGUUGCUAGUAACCGCAGGUCAGCUAUACUGCGGUGAAUACGUUCCCGGGGCUU